GACGGAGGAGGCAAGCGUUAUCCGGAAUCAUUGGGCGUAAAGCGUCCGUAGGUGGCUUGGUAAGUCUGCUGUCAAAUCACAUGGCUCAACCAUGUAACGGCAGUGGAAACUGCUGGGCUAGAGUGCGGUAGGGGUAGCGGGAAUUCCCGGUGUAGCGGUGAAAUGCGUAGAGACUGGGAAGAACACCUGUGGCGAAAGCGCGCUACUGGGUCGCAACUGACACUGAGGGACGAGAGCUAGGGGCGCGAAUGGG
RNAcentral lists this ribosomal RNA (253 nucleotides) under uncultured bacterium. RNAcentral's name for it is "partial 16S ribosomal RNA". It matches the Rfam family "Bacterial small subunit ribosomal RNA", at positions 524 to 776 of the family's 1533-position model. The record is from RNAcentral.